UAGCUAUGAUUUACUGUGUCAGUCUGUACCAGAGACUUUUCAUUUAUGGCUCUCUUUACAACAAACAAGCAAGGAUGGGUUAUCCUAAUCUUACAAAGGAGGAACCCCUGGUUCAAAAGUGUUUGUUCCUUAUGUGGAAGUCACAUAUGUGGAAGUCACAUAUGUGGAACUCGAAUUUGAUCUAGUUCUGGCUGGUUUCUGGACCCAGACUCCGUCACACCAGCAGAUCUCAAUAUCUACAGAGGUGGUGUAUGCCCUGGGGCCUGGGAUCAUCAUAAGAGGGACAAUUUCACAGUCUGUAUCCUCCUGAAGCCUCAACGCCCUCAAGCCAAGAGGUCAGCUGGUCUGGCUUUCUUCACUUCCCAGAUGCUAUCAUCCAGAUUCCCUUCCUACUGAAGGAAAAUCCCUGAAGACCCUUGCUAAGUCCCAACCCCCACUCCAGGCUCCUCUCUCUCAUUGGGUCUGCCUCUCAUUUACUCCAGAUAGAUUUAUAACUUAUGCAAAUACAUGUAGAUGACUAGGCAAAUGAUUAUGCAAAUGACGCCUUUCCUUUUCUCCAUCCCAAUUCUGGUAACACUGGGAGAAAGGAACAAUAGUGAUUAAGUCCUGACAUUCGAGACAAACAUGGAUAAACCCUGAGGGCAUUAUGCUAAAUGAAAUAAGUCAGACACAGAAAGACGAAUACUGCAUGAUUUCACUUACACAUGUGAAAUUUUUUUAAAAAACCAAACGCACAGAAACAGAGAGUAGAUUGAUUGGUGGUUGUCAGGGGCUGGAGGGCAAAGGUGAUCAAGGUUACAAACUUCCAGUUAUAAGCUGAAUAGCUUCUGGGGAUCUAAUGUACCGCAAGGUGACUAUAGUUAACAAUACUGUACUGUAUAUUUGAAAGUUGCUAAGAGAGUGGAUCUUAGAUGUUCUCACCACACGUGAACCAAAGGUAAUUAGGUGAAGCGAUGGAUGUUAACUAACAUUAUUGUGGCAAUAAUUUGUAAUAUAUGCAUAUAUCAGAUUAUCGUGUUGUAAGCUUAUAUGAUGUUAUAUGUCAGUUAUUACCUCAAUAAAGCUGGAAAAAAAAAAAGGAUUGAAAGAUGGGAACUAGAAUCAAUGUGUAAACGGCAAAGAAGCUCUAAUUUUAAUCUAGAAAAUAAAACAUAAUGGCUAUUUCACAGCAAAAAUUUAUUUCCACAGAGGAUAAAAUAAAGGAGGUCUUUGAUCCUUAAGUUUCCAUGAAAGCCUCACAUCUGUAGCAAAUUAUAGAAUCUGGCUCCCUAUACCCAUUGCGUUUUCCCACUGAAAUUAGUGAUUCUUAGGAAAUGGUCAAGGGGACUAAUUUCUGUAUUUUAUCAGGACCUCAUACUGUUACAUUGGUGUAUUAUACACUGAAAAAAAUCCUGAAUCUUCUGCCUAAUAGACAAAAUAUCUUCAUAUAAAAAAACAUAGGUCCAACUGUUCAAUUUCUAUUUUAAAAAUUCUUGCCCUAUUUUAAACAGUUAAUAAAGCUGGCUUUUCAUGAACCA
This is a long non-coding RNA of Neofelis nebulosa (Clouded leopard), 1517 nucleotides long. RefSeq lists it as uncharacterized. The transcript is spliced from 2 exons. The record is from RefSeq and is a predicted model, not a curated record. Lineage: Eukaryota; Metazoa; Chordata; Mammalia; Carnivora; Felidae.